GACGAACGCUGGCGGCGUGCUUAACACAUGCAAGUCGAACGCUGAAGCCCUUUCGGGGGUGGAUGAGUGGCGAACGGGUGAGUAACACGUGGGUAAUCUGCCCUGUACUUCGGGAUAAGCCUUGGAAACGGGGCCUAAUACCGGAUAGGACCUGUCCUCGCAUGGGGGUGGGUGGAAAGUUCCGGCGGUAUGGGAGGAGCCCGCGGCCUAUCAGCUUGUUGGUGGGGUAGUGGCCUACCAAGGCGACGACGGGUAGCCGGCCGGAGAGGGUGACCGGGCACACUGGGACUGGGACACGGCCCAGACUCCUACGGGAGGCAGCAGUGGGGAAUCUUGCGCAAUGGGCGAAAGCCUGACGCAGCAACGCCGCGUGGGGGAUGACGGCCUUCGGGUUGUAAACCUCUUUCGACAUCGACGAAGGGGCCCUGUUGUGGGGUUUUGACGGUAGGUGUAGAAGAAGCACCGGCUAACUACGUGCCAGCCGCCGCAGUAA
RNAcentral lists this ribosomal RNA (493 nucleotides) under uncultured bacterium. Its description in RNAcentral is "partial 16S ribosomal RNA". It matches the Rfam family "Bacterial small subunit ribosomal RNA", at positions 28 to 523 of the family's 1533-position model. The record is from RNAcentral.